Molecule: transfer RNA, 72 nt
Filed under: Phrynosoma platyrhinos (Desert horned lizard)
Lineage: Eukaryota; Metazoa; Chordata; Lepidosauria; Squamata; Phrynosomatidae
Description: tRNA-OTHER
Source: RNAcentral
GCCAGUGUGGUGUAGUGGUUUGAGUGAUGGACUAUGACUCUGGAGUUCAGGGUUCAAUUCCUAGCUCAAGCU